RNAcentral lists this ribosomal RNA (450 nucleotides) under uncultured bacterium. RNAcentral describes it as "partial 16S ribosomal RNA". It matches the Rfam family "Bacterial small subunit ribosomal RNA", at positions 354 to 796 of the family's 1533-position model. The record is from RNAcentral.
GUGGGGAAUAUUGGACAAUGGGCGCAAGCCUGAUCCAGCCAUACCGCGUGGGUGAAGAAGGCCUUCGGGUUGUAAACUGCUUUUGUACGGAACGAAAAGCCUCUGGUUAAUACCCGGGGGUCAUGACGGUACCGUAAGAAUAAGCACCGGCUAACUACGUGCCAGCAGCCGCGGUAAUACGUAGGGUGCGAGCGUUAAUCGGAAUUACUGGGCGUAAAGCGUGCGCAGGCGGUGAUGUAAGACAGUUGUGAAAUCCCCGGGCUCAACCUGGGAACUGCAUCGGUGACUGCAUUGCUGGAGUGCGGCAGAGGGGGAUGGAAUUCCGCGUGUAGCAGUGAAAUGCGUAGAUAUGCGGAGGAACACCGAUGGCGAAGGCAAUCCCCUGGGCCUGCACUGACGCUCAUGCACGAAAGCGUGGGGAGCAAACUGGAUUAGAUACCCUUGUAGUCC